GACGAACGCUGGCGGCGUGCUUAACACAUGCAAGUCGAGCGGUAAGGCCCUUUCGGGGGUACACGAGCGGCGAACGGGUGAGUAACACGUGGGUGACCUGCCCUCAGCUCUGGGAUAAGCCUGGGAAACCGGGUCUAAUACCGGAUAUGACUCCACUGACGCAUGUUGUGGGGUGGAAAGCCUUGUGCGGCUGAGGAUGGGCCCGCGGCCUAUCAGCUUGUUGGUGGGGUGAUGGCCUACCAAGGCGACGACGGGUAGCCGGCCUGAGAGGGCGACCGGCCACACUGGGACUGAGACACGGCCCAGACUCCUACGGGAGGCAGCAGUGGGGAAUCUUGCGCAAUGGGCGAAAGCCUGACGCAGCGACGCCGCGUGAGGGAUGACGGCCU
Molecule: ribosomal RNA, 389 nt
Filed under: uncultured bacterium
Lineage: Bacteria
Description: bacterial SSU rRNA
Rfam family: Bacterial small subunit ribosomal RNA
Source: RNAcentral